AGUCUGCAACCCGACUACACGAAGCUGGAAUCGCUAGUAAUCGCGGAUCAGAAUGCCGCGGUGAAUACGUUCCCGGGUCUUGUACACACCGCCCGUCACACCAUGGGAGUCAGUAACGCCCGAAGUCAGUGACCUAACCGAAAGGGAGGAGCUGCCGAAGGCGGGACGGAUGACUGGGGUGAAGUCGUAACAAGGUAGC
Molecule: ribosomal RNA, 199 nt
Filed under: uncultured bacterium
Lineage: Bacteria
Description: partial 16S ribosomal RNA
Rfam family: Bacterial small subunit ribosomal RNA
Source: RNAcentral